RNAcentral lists this ribosomal RNA (1434 nucleotides) under uncultured organism. RNAcentral's name for it is "16S ribosomal RNA". It matches the Rfam family "Bacterial small subunit ribosomal RNA". The record is from RNAcentral.
AGGAUGAACGCUAGCUACAGGCUUAACACAUGCAAGUCGAGGGGCAGCAUGGUCUUAGCUUGCUAAGGCCGAUGGCGACCGGCGCACGGGUGAGUAACACGUAUCCAACCUGCCGUCUACUCUUGGACAGCCUUCUGAAAGGAAGAUUAAUACAAGAUGGCAUCAUGAGUCCACAUGUUCACAUGAUUAAAGGUAUUCCGGUAGACGAUGGGGAUGCGUUCCAUUAGAUAGUAGGCGGGGUAACGGCCCACCUAGUCUUCGAUGGAUAGGGGUUCUGAGAGGAAGGUCCCCCACAUUGGAACUGAGACACGGUCCAAACUCCUACGGGAGGCAGCAGUGAGGAAUAUUGGUCAAUGGGCGCAGGCCUGAACCAGCCAAGUAGCGUGAAGGAUGACUGCCCUAUGGGUUGUAAACUUCUUUUAUAAAGGAAUAAAGUCGGGUAUGCAUACCCGUUUGCAUGUACUUUAUGAAUAAGGAUCGGCUAACUCCGUGCCAGCAGCCGCGGUAAUACGGAGGAUCCGAGCGUUAUCCGGAUUUAUUGGGUUUAAAGGGAGCGUAGAUGGAUGUUUAAGUCAGUUGUGAAAGUUUGCGGCUCAACCGUAAAAUUGCAGUUGAUACUGGAUAUCUUGAGUGCAGUUGAGGCAGGCGGAAUUCGUGGUGUAGCGGUGAAAUGCUUAGAUAUCACGAAGAACUCCGAUUGCGAAGGCAGCCUGCUAAGCUGCAACUGACAUUGAGGCUCGAAAGUGUGGGUAUCAAACAGGAUUAGAUACCCUGGUAGUCCACACGGUAAACGAUGAAUACUCGCUGUUUGCGAUAUACGGCAAGCGGCCAAGCGAAAGCGUUAAGUAUUCCACCUGGGGAGUACGCCGGCAACGGUGAAACUCAAAGGAAUUGACGGGGGCCCGCACAAGCGGAGGAACAUGUGGUUUAAUUCGAUGAUACGCGAGGAACCUUACCCGGGCUUAAAUUGCAGAUGAAUUACGGUGAAAGCCGUAAGCCGCAAGGCAUCUGUGAAGGUGCUGCAUGGUUGUCGUCAGCUCGUGCCGUGAGGUGUCGGCUUAAGUGCCAUAACGAGCGCAACCCUUGUUGUCAGUUACUAACAGGUUCCGCUGAGGACUCUGACAAGACUGCCAUCGUAAGAUGUGAGGAAGGUGGGGAUGACGUCAAAUCAGCACGGCCCUUACGUCCGGGGCUACACACGUGUUACAAUGGGGGGUACAGAGGGCCGCUACCACGCGAGUGGAUGCCAAUCCCAAAAACCUCUCUCAGUUCGGACUGGAGUCUGCAACCCGACUCCACGAAGCUGGAUUCGCUAGUAAUCGCGCAUCAGCCACGGCGCGGUGAAUACGUUCCCGGGCCUUGUACACACCGCCCGUCAAGCCAUGGGAGCCGGGGGUACCUGAAGUGCGUAACCGCGAGGAGCGCCCUAGGGUA